RNAcentral lists this ribosomal RNA (253 nucleotides) under uncultured bacterium. Its description in RNAcentral is "partial 16S ribosomal RNA". It matches the Rfam family "Bacterial small subunit ribosomal RNA", at positions 524 to 776 of the family's 1533-position model. The record is from RNAcentral.
UACGGAGGGAGCUAGCGUUGUUCGGAUAUACUGGGCGUAAAGCGCACGUAGGCGGCGCCGUAAGUCAGGGGUGAAAUCCCGGAGCUCAACUCCGGAACUGCCCUUGAAACUGCAGUGCUAGAAUUCUGGAGAGGCGAGUGGAAUUCCAGGUGUAGCGGUGAAAUGCGUAGAUAUCUGGAGGAACACCGGUGGCGAAGGCGGCAUCCUGGACCGGUAUUGACGCUGAGGCGCGAAAGCCAGGGGAGCAAACGGG